This 178-nucleotide unclassified non-coding RNA is filed under the name soil metagenome. RNAcentral's name for it is "partial contains 5.8S ribosomal RNA, internal transcribed spacer 2, and large subunit ribosomal RNA". The record is from RNAcentral.
AACGCACGAGACCUGCGGACCUGCGGAGGGAUCAUUAACAAAUUCCACAAACACUCGUCUUUGCCAGUCGGGGCCUUCGGACCCUGACUUGGUACUAUGACGCUUUCACACACAUUAUCAGUGACAACCAAAGGAGAACCAAAUCUAAUCGUUAAACAACUUUUAACAAUGGAUCUCU